UGCCAGACUCCUACGGGAGGCAGCAGUGGGGAAUAUUGCGCAAUGGGCGAAAGCCUGACGCAGCGACGCCGCGUGAGGGAUGAAGGUCUUCGGAUCGUAAACCUCUGUCAGCAGGGAAGAACGGUCACUGUGCUAAUCAGCAGUGAAUUGACGGUACCUGCAAAGGAAGCCCCGGCUAACUACGUGCCAGCAGCCGCGGUAAUACGUAGGGGGCAAGCGUUAUCCGGAUUUACUGGGUGUAAAGGGAGCGUAGACGGAAAGGCAAGUCAGAAGUGAAAACCCAAGGCUCAACCAUGGGACUGCUUUUGAAACUGUCAAACUAGAGUACGGGAGAGGUAAGAGGAAUUCCUAGUGUAGCGGUGAAAUGCGUAGAUAUUAGGAGGAACACCAGUGGCGAAGGCGGCUUGCUGGACGAUGACUGACGUUGAGGCUCGAAAGCGUGGGGAGCAAACAGGAUUAGAUACCCUCGUA
Molecule: ribosomal RNA, 471 nt
Filed under: uncultured bacterium
Lineage: Bacteria
Description: partial 16S ribosomal RNA
Rfam family: Bacterial small subunit ribosomal RNA
Source: RNAcentral